Molecule: unclassified non-coding RNA, 302 nt
Filed under: Hevea brasiliensis (rubber tree)
Lineage: Eukaryota; Viridiplantae; Streptophyta; Magnoliopsida; Malpighiales; Euphorbiaceae
Source: RNAcentral
AAUGUGAUAUUGUGGGUAAAGUAUAGUGUUAAGUACAAAUCAUUGUUGUAAAUGUAAUGACACUUGCCCAUUUUUACAUUUAAAAUUGUAGAGUCGCUAUUGAAUAUUUGAAUCAAUUGUACGUAGUUUGUUACUUUCUUUAGCUCAUCUUCAAAGAUGCAUAUCUUAAUGUGUUUUUGAGCAACAUAAUCAAAGCCUUGUUUGCUAAGGGAAUCAUUUGAACUGAUCAUUUUUUUUUUAUAUUUAUCUUUUGUUGACUUGAAACAUGUAUCCACAACGUUCUGCUGCAUCUUUGAACUUGU